CCUACGGGAGGCAGCAGUGAGGAAUAUUGGUCAAUGGGCGCGAGCCUGAACCAGCCAAGUAGCGUGAAGGAUGACUGCCCUACGGGGUGUAAACUGCUUGUAUAAAGGAAUAAAGUGAGGCACGUGGGCCUUUUUGUAUGUACUUUAUGAAUAAGGAUCGGCUAACUCCGUGCCAGCAGCCGCUGUAAUACGGAGGAUCCGAGCGUUAUCCGGAUUUAUUGGGUUGAAAGGGAGCGUAGAAGUGUUGUUAAGUCAGUUGUGAAAGUUUGCGGCUCAACCGGAAAAUUGCAAUUGAUACUGGCAGUCUUGCGUACAGUUGAGGUAGUCGGACUUCGUGGUGUCGCGGUUA
Molecule: ribosomal RNA, 349 nt
Filed under: uncultured bacterium
Lineage: Bacteria
Description: partial 16S ribosomal RNA
Rfam family: Bacterial small subunit ribosomal RNA
Source: RNAcentral